Molecule: long non-coding RNA, 440 nt
Filed under: Setaria viridis
Lineage: Eukaryota; Viridiplantae; Streptophyta; Magnoliopsida; Poales; Poaceae
Description: long non-coding RNA (SVIR_LNC008125)
Source: RNAcentral
GCUGGUGCGUGGUGCGUAGGAAUCGCAACUUCUUCGCAGAUAGGUCCAUUAGCCCCUAAUGAAGACACACCAUGGUGAGAGUCUCGACAUUGUAGGACAGAAAGCGGAAGGAGAGGGUCCAAGAUCGAACAUGAAGAAACAGAGGUGAGGGAAGAUUACCUGUUCGCGUGGUAGAACCUCCUCGUUCAUCACCCCAAAGGUGCUGCUCACUGCCCCCAUGGCUGCGUAAAGCAGGUACCGAGCCUUGGUGAGCUCGUCACGCACUCAACACCCAUGCUCGAGAGCACUCCCCUACGACACCAUUUCCUAUACAUCGUCAAGGGCAAAUAGUGCCUUGCCCGGGCACCGGGGUUGCUCCUAGGUGAGCAUCGGGCCCCAGCCUAGCACCAGCACCGGCCCGGCCAAAGCCACUUGAAGUCAGAUGGUGUGGUCGAGCACGG